This 786-nucleotide long non-coding RNA is filed under the name Olea europaea subsp. europaea. The record is from RNAcentral. Lineage: Eukaryota; Viridiplantae; Streptophyta; Magnoliopsida; Lamiales; Oleaceae.
UAUUUUCCAAUUUCAUACCAAUUUUUUAUUCCCAAUUUAUUUCGACUUCAAGUGGUCAUCUUUUGAGUUUAAUUUCUCAUUCACCCUUAAUUAGUUUUGAAAAAUAAAUACAUAUAUCAAUUCUACAUGAAGUAGAAUACACUUGCCAAAUAAAUCAUUUAUCCAUGUGACAGGACCUACUUAAAUAAUUGGUCAUCAAACCAACUAAUUAUUCCAAUUUUCCAACAAAUUGUCUUCUCUUCUUCGGCUCAAUCUGCAAAGUCAGCUACAUGUGACCAAAGAAAAAAUGGGAGACAAGCAGCACCUUUGAUUUUUUGUGUCGACCACGAAGAAAAAUGGAAGAUAGUGCACCCUUGAGUUUCAGCAUCGUGUGCAGGGAUUGGGCCUUGAGAUCUCCGCCACCGCUGCCAACAAUCAAAACCCAAUAUCCAACACUGAGCGCCUUGAGAUCCUCAAUGGCGUUGCUACUUCGUCGACUGAUAUUCAUUUUAUUGCUAAGCAUUUUGUCUGCAUCUUACAAUGUAACGUACAACAACGGCUUUCUCAUUAUCGACGGUCAAUGGAAGCUUCUCAUCUUUGUCGCCAUCUACUCCCCUCGCGAGGUGCAACAUCCCUGCUUCAUCGAUUGAUUCGCACCGCGUGGCAAUUGCGACUGGAACAGAUGCCGUCUGCUAUAAUGUGUAAGAGAGAGAUGGGUAUAAACUAUAAAGAGAUAUAGAGAGAGAAACAAGAGGGAAAACUAAUGAGUUUGGGAUGAAAUUCGUAUAUUUAAUAUUUAAAUAUAAA